RNAcentral lists this non-coding RNA (30 nucleotides) under Homo sapiens (human). Lineage: Eukaryota; Metazoa; Chordata; Mammalia; Primates; Hominidae. The record is from RNAcentral.
UUGCCUGAUUGUGUCUUCAUUCCCUAAACU